Molecule: ribosomal RNA, 301 nt
Filed under: uncultured bacterium
Lineage: Bacteria
Description: partial 16S ribosomal RNA
Rfam family: Bacterial small subunit ribosomal RNA
Source: RNAcentral
CAGCAGCCGCGGUAAUACGUAGGGUCCGAGCGUUGUCCGGAAUUACUGGGCGUAAAGAGCUCGUAGGUGGUUUGUCGCGUUGUUCGUGAAAACUCACAACUCAAUUGUGGGCGUGCGGGCGAUACGGGCAGACUGGAGUACUGCAGGGGAGACUGGAAUUCCUGGUGUAGCGGUGGAAUGCGCAGAUAUCAGGAGGAACACCGGUGGCGAAGGCGGGUCUCUGGGCAGUAACUGACGCUGAGGAGCGAAAGCGUGGGGAGCGAACAGGAUUAGAUACCCCCGUAGUCCCUGUCUCUUAUAC